This 494-nucleotide ribosomal RNA is filed under the name uncultured bacterium. Its description in RNAcentral is "partial 16S ribosomal RNA". It matches the Rfam family "Bacterial small subunit ribosomal RNA", at positions 28 to 507 of the family's 1533-position model. The record is from RNAcentral.
GACGAACGCUGGCGGCGCGCUUAACACAUGCAGGUCGAACGGAAAGGCCUGCUUUCCCUUGUGGAUUGCGGGUACUCGAGUGGCGAACGGGUGAGUAACACGUGAGUGAUCUGCCCCCAACUUGGGUAUAAGCCUGGGAAACUGGGUCUAAUUCCCGAUAGGACUGCAGGGUGGUGCCUGUGGUGGAAAACGAUUUUCUAGUGGUUGGGGGUGAGCUCGCGGCCUAUCAGCUUGUUGGUGGGGUAAUGGCCUACCAAGGCGGCGACGGGUAGCCGGCCUGAGAGGGUGGACGGCCACAUUGGGACUGAGAUACGGCCCAGACUCCUACGGGAGGCAGCAGUGGGGAAUAUUGCACAAUGGGCGGAAGCCUGAUGCAGCGACGCCGCGUGGGGGAUGACGGCCUUCGGGUUGUAAACUCCUUUCGACCGCGAGGAAGCCACCUGGUUGGAAGGGUGGUGACGGUAGUGGUAGAAGAAGCACCGGCUAACUACGUG